UAUGCAGCUAAUAUGUAGUAAAGCAAUGGUAACAUAUGACAAACAUUUGCAUUUACAUCAAGCAGUUUUUUGAAAUGUGCUCACAUCAGUUUUCUUCUUCUCAGAACCGUAACAACCAGUGUUCCUUUCUCGGCUUAUGGGACAUUGAGGUUCAUUCCCCCACCUGCUGUACAAGAAUCAAAGCCUUUCUUUCACCUUCACCAGAUGGAACUGUAACUGGUAUUUCUCUGUCUAAUGCCUGUUUUACAAAAUUAUCAGCAUGGUCAUUGCCUUUUACCGCCUCAUGGGCUGGCCCUAAUC
Molecule: long non-coding RNA, 300 nt
Organism: Fundulus heteroclitus (mummichog)
Lineage: Eukaryota; Metazoa; Chordata; Actinopteri; Cyprinodontiformes; Fundulidae
Exons: 2
Source: RefSeq, a predicted model, not a curated record